Fukomys damarensis (Damara mole-rat) is the source of this 355-nucleotide long non-coding RNA. RefSeq lists it as uncharacterized. The record is from RefSeq and is a predicted model, not a curated record. The transcript has 3 exons. NCBI's taxonomy places the organism in Eukaryota, Metazoa, Chordata, Mammalia, Rodentia, Bathyergidae.
CAGUAUGAGAAAUUCUCUUAGUCAUCUCUGCCCUUUGGUCUGGAGCCCCAGAAGGAGUACACGUGAAGGAGACUUGCAUUCCACCCAGUAAGAAGACAAACCCAGGCAGAACACAACAGGAUGCGGACUACCAGCCAAGCACAGCCUACACUGGCCAUUCCACAUUCAACCAGCAGAAGAUGAUCUGAGAAUAAGCUGCUUCCCUGACAUGCCAAGUUAAACUUUCCCAGAUCUUCUUGUACUAAUCAUAGCACAGUAAACUCUGGCAAAAAUAACUGAGGAACAUAACAGAAUUUCCCAGAAUAAGCAAGAAAUUCUACCAAAUGCAUAGCAACAAAAGUGUCAUUUCCAAGCC